Long non-coding RNA from Rattus rattus (black rat), 861 nucleotides. RefSeq lists it as uncharacterized. NCBI's taxonomy places the organism in Eukaryota, Metazoa, Chordata, Mammalia, Rodentia, Muridae. The record is from RefSeq and is a predicted model, not a curated record. The transcript has 2 exons.
UGCUUAGAUCCGUCGCAGCUGCUCUCCAAAUGUCAGCGCCAGUGCUGGGCAAAGCUUGAAACCCACCAGGCUUCAGGAGAGCCAUUCUCACCCACAUUUUCCCCCGAGCACUCUUAGGAACCUGGCAACAGGUAACGUGGCAACCUUUGACUUCUUAAAAGGCGAGUGGGAUAAUUUCAGGGAACAAACGGAUUGUUUUCGAGCCAGCUGCGUCUCUCCUAACUGCCCCCGCAUCCAACCUUCUCCCUCCCAAUAGAGUCUGGGAAAACAAAUUUAAGUGCUGAAGGCUGUCCCGCUCUUGUGCGUCCCCUGGUGGCCAACAUCGGGACAACACGCACGUGUUCGGAACCCCUCCGCAGUUCCUGCUGGACACAGACAAGACCGCCUCCAUAAACCCGGCUCAGAAACACCCAUUGUUCAACAGCCUCCAUUAGCAACAAGCUACCGCCACCCCAAGGCUUUGCAAAAGAAAGGAUUUGGUUGGAGGAAGCCUGGGACUGGGGAGGCUGUGAAAAGAGACAGGAGAGGCGUCCUUUGAGCCUCCGUUCCAGAGAAGAGCGCCGCAGAAUAAACUUCGAGGUGUUUAAUCUUUUAGUUUCCUUAAGAAAUGCCUGGAAGAGCCCAAGACCAGUGAUUGCGAACUCUAAAUUGGAUGUCAGCUCAGUGCAGAAACUUCUGUCAGCUGAAGUUACUAAAUAGACUGUCUCUGCCUAAUGUACAUAUUCUGAGCCUCGUAAAACCCUAUACCACCGCAGCAAAGCACGGCUGAAUUCUUUACUAGACGUUGUUCUAAGUAGUCCUCCAACCUACACCUGUACACAUUUAUUUUGGUCCCUAUCUUAAUAAAGCUCAGAAAUUCCA